RNA transcript from Nilaparvata lugens (brown planthopper), 2366 nucleotides. It is a transcript of the gene named dolichyl-diphosphooligosaccharide--protein glycosyltransferase 48 kDa subunit, with no coding region annotated. The transcript is spliced from 8 exons. NCBI's taxonomy places the organism in Eukaryota, Metazoa, Arthropoda, Insecta, Hemiptera, Delphacidae. The record is from RefSeq and is a predicted model, not a curated record.
GCCAUCUUGUCAAUCUGUUCAUCGACGACAUCGAUUCGUUGGCAAUUCAGUUUGUUGAUUAGUUUUCAGAAUAGUUUUUCAACAUGGAAAAGUCGUUUAUUUAUCUUGUACUUCUAUUAUUUGUAAACUGUAAUUUGAGUUUUGUGUCCAGCGAACAUGAAACACUUGUGCUUUUGGAUAAUUUGGCAAUUAAAGAAACGCAUUCAAUGUUUUUCAAGUCAUUGAAAGAUCGAGGCUACGCGUUGACCUUUAAAUCAGCUGAUGACUCCACAUUGAUUUUGUCAAAAUACGGCGAAUAUUUGUAUGAGAAUUUGAUCAUUUUUGCGCCAUCCGUCGAGGAAUUUGGAGGCUCUCUGAGCACAGAAUCGAUCACUGAUUUCAUUGACAAUGGAGGUAACGUUCUGGUAGCUGGAAGUUCCCAAUCGCAGGAUAUCCUGAGGGAACUGGCAACAGAAUGCGGUUUUGAAAUGGACGAAGAAGGAGCCUCAGUUAUUGAUCAUCUCAACUACGAUAUUAGCGAUAGUGGCAAGCACACACUGAUCGUAGCAGACGCAGCCAACCUGAUAGAUGCGCCCGUGAUUGUCGGCGAGCGAAGAGGGGUAGCACCGCUCCUGUACAAGGGAACAGGACUGAUAGCUGACUCUGACAAUCCUCUAGUUCUCAGACUGCUCUCUGCUCACUCAUCUGCCUACUCCUAUGUACCUGAUAGGCCUAUCAAAGAGUAUCCUCACGCAGUUGGCAAAAACACUCUGCUAAUGGCCGCCCUUCAGGCGAGGAACAAUGCCAGGGUGGUCUUCACCGGAUCGCUCUACUUUUUCUCCGAUGAAGCCUUCACGUCUCCCGUACAAAAAGCACAGAGCUCUCAAAAGUGGGUGACGUCUGGAAAUCAGGUGGUUUCCGAAGCACUGACACAGUGGGUGUUCAAGGAGGCCGGAGUAAUCAGGGUCAAAUCUGUGGCUCACAAGCGACUCAACGAGAAGGUGCCUCCACCGGCCUACACCAUUAUGGAUACUGUGGUAUUCUCACUAGAACUGGAGCGCAAGUCCGGCGCCUCAUGGGUGCCUCACGACGUGAACGACCUACAGCUAGAGUUUGUGCGCAUCGAUCCGUUUGUGCGGCGCACAUUGACGCAGAAAGGCCGAGGCAAAUACGAAACCGUUUUCCGUAUUCCCGACGUUUAUGGCGUUUACAAGCUGAAGGUUGACUAUAACCGUGUGGGUUAUACCCAUGUGUAUAGCAGCACACAGGUGUCGGUCAGGCCGCUGGAACAUACGCAGUACGAGAGAUUCAUUGCCAGCGCGUAUCCCUACUAUGCCAGUGCGUUGAGUAUGAUGGCCGGUGUGUUUCUGUUUAGUUUGGUGUUUUUGCAUUAUAAGGAGGAGCCUGUGAAGGGGAAAGUUGAGUAGGUUAGGUUAGGUCGAGGUUUGUUAGGUUAGGUCGAAGUAUGUUAGGUUAGGUUAAGUGAGAUUGUGUGUGGAUUGGUAAGAGGUAAUAUAGAAGAAGAUGAAGAUUGAGGAGGAAGAAGAAGAAUUAGAUGGAUGAGGAGGAAGAAGAAGAUGGAGAAGAAGAAAGAGCUUGUUAAGGGGAAAGUUGAGUAGGUUAGGUUAGGUCGAAGUUUGUUAGGUUAGGUUAAGUCAGAUUGUGUGUGGAAUGGAAAUAGGUAAUGUGGAAGAAAAAGAAGUAGAUGGAGGAGUAGGAAGAGAAGAAGAAGAAGAAGAAGUAGGUGGAUUGGCCGGUGUGUUUCUGUUUAGUUUGGUGUUUUUGCAUUAUAAGGAGGAGCCUGUCAAGGGGAAAGUUGAGUAGGUUAGGUUAGGUCGAGGUUUGUUAGGUUAGGUUAAGUCAGAUUGUGUGUGUGGAUUGGAUGGAUUGGUAAGAGGUAAUAUAGAAGAAGAUGAAGAUUGAGGAGGAAGAAGAAGGAGUAGAUGGACGAGGAGGAAGAAGAAGAAGGAGAAGAAGAAGAAGAUGGAGAAGAAAAAGAAGAAGAUGAGGAGAAGCAGAAGAAGAAGAUGGAGGAUGCUAAGGAGGAGACUGAGAAGGUUGAGUAUCUGUUAGACCUUUGGAACACACGCAGUACAAGAGAUUUAUAGCAUAUAGAAGACAUAGCACAAGAAGAUAUGCCAUGGUUUGUAGAAUUCAUUCAAAGUUUGCAAGUUUUGUAUCAAAAUUUGAUACAAACAAUUAAUAAUUUAAUUAUGGUGUUGUGUAACAAGUUUAGAUGAUACUGUAUCAUAUUUUUGUGUUAUGCAAUGGUAGAGGACCGUUAUGUUGCAAAUGUUUGUGUUAACUGAAGCCGAUAGUCCUAGUAGUUGUUUUUGGUGAAGCUAUGUGACGCUGGUAGUCUCUAAUACUGUGCCCUUCUUACACUC